This 923-nucleotide long non-coding RNA is filed under the name Manihot esculenta (cassava). Its description in RNAcentral is "long non-coding RNA (MESC_LNC006085)". Lineage: Eukaryota; Viridiplantae; Streptophyta; Magnoliopsida; Malpighiales; Euphorbiaceae. The record is from RNAcentral.
UCAAUGGCUCUGCUCUCAUCAGCUCCUAACUCAUCAGUUAUCAUCUUAACCGUUCUGAGGUACUCAAAUGGAUCAUCUCCCGUGUUGAACUUGGGAGCAUCCAACUUCAGAUACUCUGUCAUUUUCACUUUACUUCCCUCAGCCAAGCUAGGUUGCGGUACUUGGACAACAAGGACUACUGGUUCUGGUUCUGGUGGUGGCGAAGGUGCUGAACUUGACUCUGGUUAUGUUGUACUGGGAUGAAAAGGUGUAGGUGGAUACAUGGGAUAUGGUGGGUAAAAAGGAGGAUAAGGCAUGUAAGGCAUGUAGGUAGGAUAUGGGGUAAAGCUAGAGUAAUCCGACGUACCCCCCAUCGGAUACCCUGGGCCCUGUGGAAAGGGUAGAUAAUGGGGUGGAUAACCAAACCCCGAGGCCUGAGCGCCUCCCUGAGAUUCUCCCAUACCCUCUUCCGACCUGCCCAUACCCAUGCUUUCCUCUCUUGAUUGAUCCACAUCCAUAGCCUCCCUCACUUCCUCUGAGCUUCCUCCUCUUUCUACUCCUCUUCUACUCUCGUCAAAAGACCUUCUAGGGUCCCUUGACGUACCCUCCCUGCUUGAUCUCGGAGACCUUGCCCUUGGCAACGCAGGAGGACGAGCAUCUGAGCCCUCAUUCACUGGUGGGACUCCAGUCAAUCGUGCAGAUCAACGAGUUCCUCUCAUCUUAAAUUUCUGAAAAACACAUAACAGCACACAUCAUCAUAUAAACAGCACAACGAAACACAUGCAUAACUCAUGACAUUACAGCUCAACAACAAGACAGGACGCAACAUCCUAUCCUAGUGGACAUGCUUUCCUAUUGUGCUUGACCUACUAGAACCUCUAUGAGCUCGACACUCUCUCUCUAGGUCUGACCAUAUGAACCUAGGGCUCACACCCCUUCGGUCC